ACUUCUCACUUGCAGUCAGAUGUUAAAGCUCGUUGUUGAUACUGCAAAGUUUGUCAAGUAAAGCAAAAGCCUACCCACAAAAAAAAAAAAAAAAAAAAAAAAAGAAAAAAAAAGAAAAAAAGAAAAUAAAUGCAGUUAGAUAUACUUUCAUAGCAGUUGGAAGCUGAGACAUUCAGGGAUUGAGAAACUCAUCCUCACCUUCACCUUUGAAGUCUGUCCUUGGUCAGAGAUCAGGAGGUUGGGCUGCAGUCUUCAUUUGGACUAUUUCCCACCCCUCUUUUGCUGCCAAAUCCAGAAACCACACAGGGACUGAUAAGUCAAGAAACUGCCUCUGUCAUGGCCCAGCAGCCUUGUUCUGGAGAGUCUCUUGAUCGUUGAGGGGAGCAGAGAGAGGAAAGAAGCAGCCUGGGCUGACCUUUGAGGAUGUAAUUUGCCAUGCACUGAGGGCAGCUUUUUACAGAUCAGAAGAUCGACAGAAGGGGAAAAUAUUUCAAAAGUCAUCUGGCUUCCUGUUAAAGAACAGUGAAUUGAAACUGUCUAGAGAUAGCUGCUUAGCACAACUUAUAUAAAACUUGCUUAGCAUGAGGAGCUAAAUUUGCUGAAGCCUUAGGCCGCACGUGGGAAAAGUAACGAAGCUUUACCUAGUUUAGUAAAAAAUAGUGCCUCAGAGCUCGUUCAGGCUGGGAAGAUAAGGAAGCCACACGCAGUCUGCGCUCCUGUGUCACCCACUCUGAAAGGGAAGACGUCAAAACAAUUGAAAAAUAAGACCUUGGGAGACAGCCGCCAGACCCAACAAAAACAGAGGUACAACCGUCAUCAGAGACCACAAAAAACAAAAAUAAGGAGAAAAACAGCUUACUUCAGAAUGACAAUGAGACCCAAUGAGGAGCAGGAGACCCCAGACCAAAAAAUUACUAUUGGUCUAACUACCGCAUGAGGGGGGGGAAAUGUAAGUUGAAAAAACUAUAAUUACCCAGGAUUGGUUUAUGUUAGGGUCCCUCUUCAGAGGCACCCAGCUCGAGCUGUAAUUAUGGCAUGUAUGUGAUUAAAAAUUAAAUAUUUAAUUUGUUUUGA
This is a long non-coding RNA of Dromaius novaehollandiae (emu), 1074 nucleotides long. RefSeq lists it as uncharacterized. The record is from RefSeq and is a predicted model, not a curated record. The transcript is spliced from 2 exons. Lineage: Eukaryota; Metazoa; Chordata; Aves; Casuariiformes; Dromaiidae.